CCCUUAGAUGCUCUGGGCCGCACGCGCGCUACACUGGUCGAUGCAACGAGUUUCUUUCCUUGGCCGACAGGCCUGGGCAAUCUUUGAACAUCGAUCGUGAUCGGGAUAGAUUCUUGUAAUUUUUGAUCUUAAACGAGGAAUUCCUAGUAAACGCAAGUCAUCAGCUUGCAUUGAUUACGUCCCUACCCUUUGUACACACCGCCCGUCGCACCUACCGAUUGAAUGGUCCGGUGAAAUCUCCGGACUGGCGUGAGUCGGAGCAAUCUGACAAACACCGGAAAGUUGAUUAAACCUUACCAUUUAGAGGAAGGUGAAGUCGUAACA
This 324-nucleotide ribosomal RNA is filed under the name uncultured eukaryote. Its description in RNAcentral is "partial 18S ribosomal RNA". It matches the Rfam family "Eukaryotic small subunit ribosomal RNA", at positions 1470 to 1796 of the family's 1831-position model. The record is from RNAcentral.